UACAGAGGGUGCGAGCGUUAAUCGGAAUUCCUGGGCGUAAAGCGCGCGUAGGCGGCUUUGCAAGUCGGGUGUGAAAUCCCCAGGCUUAACCUGGGAACUGCAUUCGAGACUGCAUUGCUAGAGUAUGGGAGAGGGAAGUGGAAUUCCAGGUGUAGCGGUGAAAUGCGUAGAUAUCUGGAGGAACACCGGUGGCGAAGGCGACAUCCUGGACCGGUAUUGACGCUGAGGCGCGAAAGCCAGGGGAGCAAACGGG
This 253-nucleotide ribosomal RNA is filed under the name uncultured bacterium. Its description in RNAcentral is "partial 16S ribosomal RNA". It matches the Rfam family "Bacterial small subunit ribosomal RNA", at positions 524 to 776 of the family's 1533-position model. The record is from RNAcentral.